GGGGGCGAAAGGUUUUCGACGGGACGGUUGAAGCCCUGGCCGCGCGCGGGGGAUCCGAGUGUACCCCUUCCUUCUCCCGGAAAAUUCAAACGCCACUUACGACGUUCCUCUCGCGGCCUAACUAGCGCCGCGACGCUGAACCCCGGAUGUCUGCUAGGGGGGGAAGUGUCAUUCAGCAGGCUGGAGGCGCCCUGGGUGGCCGGGGGCUCUUCGACAUCCACGUGGCCGCUGGCGCUUGGCGUGGCCCGCCUCCGGGCAGCUCCAAGGGCGAGACCCAAACGGAGGAUACGCGCGUAGACGUCUUGGUUUUUCCGCUUCGGACGUGGGUUCGAAUCCCACCGCCUCCACCA
This 350-nucleotide transfer-messenger RNA is filed under the name bovine gut metagenome. It matches the Rfam family "transfer-messenger RNA". From Rfam's summary of the family: Bacterial tmRNA, also known as 10Sa RNA or SsrA, is named for its dual tRNA and mRNA-like properties. Its role is to liberate the mRNA from a stalled ribosome. The record is from RNAcentral.